GAUGAACGCUGGCGGCGUGCCUAAUACAUGCAAGUCGAGCGAACGGACGAGAAGCUUGCUUCUCUGAUGUUAGCGGCGGACGGGUGAGUAACACGUGGAUAACCUACCUAUAAGACUGGGAUAACUUCGGGAAACCGCAGCUAAUACCGGAUAAUAUUUUGAACCGCAUGGUUCAAAAGUGAAAGACGGUCUUGCUGUCACUUAUAGAUGGAUCCGCGCUGCAUUAGCUAGUUGGUAAGGUAACGGCUUACCAAGGCAACGAUGCAUAGCCGACCUGAGAGGGUGAUCGGCCACACUGGAACUGAGACGCGGUCCAGACUCCUACGGGAGGCAGCAGUAGGGAAUCUUCCGCAAUGGGCGAAAGCCUGACGGAGCAACGCCGCGUGAGUGAUGAAGGUCUUCGGAUCGUAAAACUCUGUUAUUAGGGAAGAACAUAUGUGUAAGUAACUGUGCACAUCUUGACGGUACCUAAUCAGAAAGCCACGGCUAACUACGUG
RNAcentral lists this ribosomal RNA (497 nucleotides) under uncultured bacterium. RNAcentral describes it as "partial 16S ribosomal RNA". It matches the Rfam family "Bacterial small subunit ribosomal RNA", at positions 28 to 507 of the family's 1533-position model. The record is from RNAcentral.